AGUUUUAAUAAAAAAUUAAAUUGCAAAUUUAAUUAAUGUAAUUAUACAUAAAACUU
This 56-nucleotide transfer RNA is filed under the name Aulacus sinensis. Its description in RNAcentral is "tRNA-Cys". The record is from RNAcentral. Lineage: Eukaryota; Metazoa; Arthropoda; Insecta; Hymenoptera; Aulacidae.